GUGUAAGUUACAAGCUCAAUCAAUGGAAGCUGGCCAGGAGAAAAGGUCCUUCAGGUGCAGGAAUCAGAUGCAAUGAUGAUGAAGAGGCUCGCAGAACCAUCAUCUGCUUCUUUGGACACACUGGUUGAGUCGUCGUUCUCUUGUUUCAUACAAAUGUCAAUCCGAUGACAACGUUCACUGCAGUUAUGUAAAUCCAGGUGGAUUUUGAUAGGCUGUCUUAAUUGCUCAUCCAAAAAAAUAAGUGAUCCCUGAUUCUCAGAGGUACAUCGUGGUGAAUUGGUCAAGUGGACUUUUACCUUGCAUGGCCCUGUACAAAGCCGUAUGACCAUCUGCCUGCACUCUGAGCCGAGGUAGCAUGAGGAUAGACAGAGGCAUGAGACCCGACUGCUGUCAGGCUUCCAUUAUAUUUCACAGUUCAGCUGGCCUGGGGUGAGCUGCAGGGAUUUUGGGGUAUCUGAGAUGCUCAACUCACCCCAAUCAAACUCAAGCACACACAUAGUCAGGCGCAUGAGGCCUGCAGAGACGAGAGCAGGAGAGAUGUUUGGCACACUGUUACCAUUCUCUUACUUGUAGCUGGCUAGUUGGUCCAUCUGUGUCUUGCUUUCAAUAAUCUGGUCUGUUUACAGCCUUUGGCUUCUCCAGUG
This is a long non-coding RNA of Cyprinus carpio carpio, 644 nucleotides long. Lineage: Eukaryota; Metazoa; Chordata; Actinopteri; Cypriniformes; Cyprinidae. The record is from Ensembl.